RNAcentral lists this ribosomal RNA (1037 nucleotides) under Semilabeo obscurus. RNAcentral's name for it is "partial large subunit ribosomal RNA". The stretch from base 185 to 1037 matches the Rfam family "Bacterial large subunit ribosomal RNA", at positions 568 to 1984 of the family's 2925-position model. The record is from RNAcentral. Lineage: Eukaryota; Metazoa; Chordata; Actinopteri; Cypriniformes; Cyprinidae.
AAACAGCUAGCUUAUCCACCAAUAUAACCAAAUAAUAUAAAUAAAAUAGAAUAGGCCGAACACCAAAAACUAAACCAUUCUUUUACCUGAGUAUGGGAGACAGAAAAGGUUCAACCAAAGCAAUAGAAAUAGUACCGCAAGGGAAAGCUGAAAGAGAAAUGAAAUAACCCAUAUAAGUAAUAAAAAGCAAAGACUAAACCUUGUACCUUUUGCAUCAUGAUUUAGCCAGUAAACACAAGCAAAGAGACCUUUAGUUUGAAACCCCGAAACCAGGUGAGCUACCCCGAGACAGCCUAUUAAGGGCCAACCCGUCUCUGUGGCAAAAGAGUGGGAAGAGCUCCGGGUAGAAGUGACAGACCUACCGAACCUGGUGAUAGCUGGUUGCCUAAGAAAUGAAUAGAAGUUCAGCCUCGUACACCUCAAAUCAAAUAAACACCAAUCAAGACACCAAGAGAAAGACACGAGAGUUAGUUAAAGGGGGUACAGCCCCUUCAACAAAGGACACAACCUUAUUCAGGAGGAUAAAGAUCAUAAUAUAUAAAACAUACUGUUCUAGUGGGCCUAAAGGCAGCCACCUAAACAGAAAGCGUUAAAGCUCAGACAGAAAAAAGUUUAUUAUUCUGAUAAAAAAUCUUACUCCCCUAAAUACUAUUAGGCUAAUCCAUGCCCCCAUGGAAGAAAUUAUGCUAAAAUGAGUAACAAGAAGGCCCGCCCUUCUCCAAGCACAAGUGUAAGCCAAACCGGACCAACCAUUGGCAACUAACGAACUCAACCCAAGAGAGCAAUGUGAACCAUAAAAAAAACAAGAAAAACCCACAACUCAACAAUCGUUAACCCCACACUGGAUUGCUAUUAAAGGAAAGACUAAAAGAAAAGGAAGGAACUCGGCAAACACAAGCCUCGCCUGUUUACCAAAAACAUCGCCUCCUGCAACGCAGCCAUGUAUAGGAGGUCCAGCCUGCCCAGUGACUACAAGUUCAACGGCCGCGGUAUUUUGACCGUGCAAAGGUAGCGCAAUCACUUGUCUUUUAAAUAGA